UUAUGGGGACCCAUCGUCCUCUUGCCAAUUAUUUGGAUUUGGAACGUACAACACUACAACAUAUAAAAACAGUACAGUUAAACACUGAUUACUACAUUUUUGUUUUUCAACCACAUAUUACCACAAUUUCAAGGGAUGUUCUCACGAGUCUCCUUCAAUUCCAAUGGUGUAAAAUAAUUGAAUUGGCUAAUUCUAUGAAUUAUGUAUAUAAUUAAAACAUUUAUGUAUGUAAGCCUCAAAAUUCGACAGAAGUAUGGAAAUGUUUUUUCUAUAUGUGGUGUAACUAAACCUAAUU
Long non-coding RNA from Arabidopsis thaliana (thale cress), 295 nucleotides. RefSeq annotates it as other RNA. NCBI's taxonomy places the organism in Eukaryota, Viridiplantae, Streptophyta, Magnoliopsida, Brassicales, Brassicaceae. The record is from RefSeq. The transcript has a single exon.